RNAcentral lists this ribosomal RNA (1038 nucleotides) under Triticum aestivum (bread wheat). RNAcentral describes it as "partial small subunit ribosomal RNA". Lineage: Eukaryota; Viridiplantae; Streptophyta; Magnoliopsida; Poales; Poaceae. The record is from RNAcentral.
AUGCAUUGGUUUGCAUGGUGGAAGUUAUGCAUCCCGAAGAGUAAGGGUGGAUUGGGGUUUAGGGACCUGCACAGUUUUAAUCUUGCUUUACUAGCAAAAUAGUGUUGGCGCUUACUCCAGAAUCCCGAAUCUUUGUGUGCAUGAGUUCUAGGUGCAAAGUACUACCCUGAUGGAAAUAUGCUCAUGGCGGGACCAAAAAAGGGCUCUUCUUUUACUUGGCAAAGUAUUGUAUCGGGUAUACAAACUUUUAAGAGAGGUUGCAUUUGGCGGGUGGGUACGGGUUCACAGAUUAAUAUCUGGAAUGAUCCUUGGAUCCCAAUUAGUGAAACAAGGAAAAUUAUAACUCCAAGGGGAGCUACUAUGUUGAGCAAGGUUGAGGAAUUGAUUGAUCCAUAUACUGGGCGGUGGGAUGAGAGUUUGAUCCGAGAUGUUUUCUGGCAAGUUGAUGCACAUAGAAUCUUGCAAAUACCUCUGAGUCAGGUGAUGGAAGACUUUGUAUCAUGGCACUAUAACCGAUCGGGUGUUUUCAAUGUGCGAUCAGCCUAUCAUGUACAACUCCAACACCAAUUUGGAGGCAGGGAGAACCUAAGUGCAGCACAAGGUAGCCGCCCAAAUGAUAUAUGGAAACGUGUGUGGGGACUGAGAAUUCCUGGCAAAGUUAAACACUUCGUGUGGAAGGUGAUUAGGGGAGUUUUACCAUGCUAUGGUACCCUUGCAAACCGCCAUAUUCCAGUUAUGGGACAAUGCCCAAUAUGCACAACAGGAUAUGAGGAUUCGCAACACUGUUUAUUCACAUGUAAGAGGGCGAAGGAUAUAUGGAAGGAUCUGGGACUCGAGACUGAAGUUCUGCAAGCUGUUGCGGAGGACCGGUCAGGCGCAUCCACUCUGGCUACUCUCUUAGAGCGUCAAGUUUCAAAAAACGACCUAUCUGUGGCCGAAUUAGCUGCAGUGGCAAGCUGGUAUAUUUGGUGGCAACGACGACAAAUUGUUAAAGGCGAGAUAGUCCGACAGCCGCACCAAACCUCCAUUGCAAUAUGA